This 497-nucleotide ribosomal RNA is filed under the name uncultured bacterium. RNAcentral describes it as "partial 16S ribosomal RNA". It matches the Rfam family "Bacterial small subunit ribosomal RNA", at positions 28 to 507 of the family's 1533-position model. The record is from RNAcentral.
GAUGAACGCUGGCGGCGUGCCUAAUACAUGCAAGUCGAGCGAACGGACGAGAAGCUUGCUUCUCUGAUGUUAGCGGCGGAUGGGUGAGUAACACGUGGAUAACCUACCUAUAAGACUGGGAUAACUUCGGGAAACCGGAGCUAAUACCGGAUGAUAUUUUGAACCGCAUGGUUCAAAAGUGAAAGACGGUCUUGCUGUCACUUAUAGAUGGAUCCGCGCUGCAUUAGCUAGUUGGUAAGGUAACGGCUUACCAAGGCAACGAUGCAUAGCCGACCUGAGAGGGUGAUCGGCCACACUGGAACUGGGACACGGUCCAGACUCCUACGGGAGGCAGCAGUAGGGAAUCUUCCGCAAUGGGCGAAAGCCUGACGGAGCAACGCCGCGUGAGUGAUGAAGGUCUUCGGAUCGUAAAACUCUGUUAUUAGGGAAGAACAUAUGUGUAAGUAACUGUGCACAUCUUGACGGUACCUAAUCAGAAAGCCACGGCUAACUACGUG